RNAcentral lists this long non-coding RNA (486 nucleotides) under Serinus canaria (Common canary). Its description in RNAcentral is "lncRNA (ENSSCAG00000007034.1)". Lineage: Eukaryota; Metazoa; Chordata; Aves; Passeriformes; Fringillidae. The record is from RNAcentral.
UGUGAAUGUACAUUUGUGGCUGAGGUGUCGAGCCAUGUUAGUGACUGCACUCAUGGCACAGAUACAUGGUGUUGGUCAUAAGAAAGGAAAUGAUGUGGCUGAGCGCAGAAGAGUGAUAAAAGAUGUAAUAUUAGAGGCAGAAGCCUUUGGUGAUAUUGAGACUCAGGCUGAAAUUAUGGUGCAAGCUGCUAUUCUUGACCUGCAAGAAAAACGUCCUGUGGCAGACAUUAAACUUCUUUUGCAGAUUUUUGAUAGUGGUGAACCCAUUGAACGGCAAGGAGAAGGCAGUACAAUGACUUGCCUGGUCUUACCCUCGAAGAAUAUCUACCUGCCACAUAUUAACUUGCUAGCCCUAGUCAAAAUGAAAAUUGGACACACAUUAGCUGAAAAAGUAGCUUCCACAGCUGCAAGACAUCCCUUGCAAUGGCUACAUGCUCUCAGGCAUUUAGAAUCAGCAUUGAAUCUUUGCAGAGCAGCUGCAACAAA